This 252-nucleotide ribosomal RNA is filed under the name uncultured bacterium. RNAcentral's name for it is "partial small subunit ribosomal RNA". It matches the Rfam family "Bacterial small subunit ribosomal RNA", at positions 26 to 291 of the family's 1533-position model. The record is from RNAcentral.
AGGACGAACGCUGGCGGCGUGCUUAACACAUGCAAGUCACGGGGGUCCCGCAAGGGAUAACCGGCGAACGGGUGCGUAACACGUGAACAACCUGCCCUCGUGUGGGGAUAGCCGGGCUAACGCCCGGGUAAUACCGCAUACGGUCCUUCGGGGAGUCCCUGGGGAAGAAAGCUCCGGCGCACGGGGAGGGGUUCGCGGCCUAUCAGCUAGUUGGGGGGUAAUGGCCCACCAAGGCGACGACGGGUAGCUGGU